RNAcentral lists this ribosomal RNA (492 nucleotides) under uncultured soil bacterium. RNAcentral describes it as "bacterial SSU rRNA". It matches the Rfam family "Bacterial small subunit ribosomal RNA", at positions 30 to 543 of the family's 1533-position model. The record is from RNAcentral.
AGAACGAACGCUGGCGGCAUGCCUAACACAUGCAAGUCGAACGAGUGCCUUCGGGUGCUAGUGGCGCACGGGUGCGUAACGCGUGGGAAUCUGCCUUUCGGUACGGAAUAACUCAGGGAAACUUGUGCUAAUACCGUAUGACGUCGCGAGACCAAAGAUUUAUCGCCGAAAGAUGAGCCCGCGUAGGAUUAGCUAGUUGGUGGGGUAAAGGCCUACCAAGGCGACGAUCCUUAGCUGGUCUGAGAGGAUGAUCAGCCACACUGGGACUGAGACACGGCCCAGACUCCUACGGGAGCAGCAGUGGGGAAUAUGGACAAUGGGCGAAAGCCUGAUCCAGCAAUGCCGCGUGAGUGAUGAAGGCCUUAGGUUGUAAAGCUCUUUACCGGGAUGAUAAUGACGAGUACCGGAGAACUAACGCCCCGGACUAACUCCGUGCCAGCCAGCCGACGGUAACUCGUAGACGCGGGUCGUCGGACGAAGGCCGACAGUACG